GUAAUCUGCCUUAGGGUGGGGGACAACAGAGGGAAACUUCUGCUAAUACCCCAUAUGUGGCGAGUUGAAAUACUCGUUAUGAAAGUUCCGGCGCCUUAAGAUGAGCCUGCGGCUGAUUAGUUUGUUGGUGAGGUAAUGGCUUACCAAGACUAUGAUCAGUAGCUGGUCUGAGAGGAUGAUCAGCCACAAUGGGACUGAGACACGGCCCAUACUCCUACGGGAGGCAGCAGUAGGGAAUUUUGCGCAAUGGGCGAAAGCCUGACGCAGCAACACCGCGUGAGUGAUGAAGCAUCUUGGUGUGUAAAACUCUGUCAGUAGGGACGAAUUUUGACGGUACCUACAAAGGAAGCAUCGGCUAACUACGUGCCAGCAGCCGCGGUAAGACGUAGGAUGCAAGCGUUGUCCGGAAUUAUUGGGCGUAAAGAGUUCGUAGGCGGCAUGAAAAGUCUGGUGUUAAAGCCCGAGGCUCAACCUCGGUUCGGCAUUGGAUACUUUCAAGCUAGAGUACAGAAGAGGCAAAGGGAAUUCCUAGUGUAGCGGUGAAAUGCGUAGAUAUUAGGAGGAACACCGGUGGCGUAAGCGCUUUGCUGGGCUGUAACUGACGCUGAGGAACGAAAGCCAGGGGAGCA
This 629-nucleotide ribosomal RNA is filed under the name uncultured bacterium. Its description in RNAcentral is "bacterial SSU rRNA". It matches the Rfam family "Bacterial small subunit ribosomal RNA", at positions 121 to 770 of the family's 1533-position model. The record is from RNAcentral.